CCAAUAGCGUAUAUUAAAGUUGUUGCAGUUAAAAAGCUCGUAGUUGAAUUUCGGGGUUAGUAGGUUGGUCAUGCCUCUGGUAUGUACUGGUCUCACUGAUUCCUCCUUCCUGAUGAACCUUAAUGCCAUUAAUUUGGUGUUUUAGGGAAUCAGGACUGUUACUUUGAAAAAAUUAGAGUGUUUAAAGCAGGCUCACGCUUGAAUACAUUAGCAUGGAAUAACGGAAUAGGACGUUUGAUUCUAUUUUGUUGGUUUCUAGGAUCGACGUAAUGAUUAAUAGGGAUAGUUGGGGGCAUUAGUAUUCAAUUGUCAGAGGUGAAAUUCUUGGAUUUAUUGAAGACUAACUACUGCGAAAGCAUUUGCCAAGGAUGUUUUCAUUAAUCAAGAACGAAAGUUAGGGGAUCGAAGACGAUCAGAUACCGUCGUAGUCUUAACCAUAAACUAUGCCGACUAGGGAUCGGAUGAUGUUAAUUUUUUAAUGACUCAUUCGGCGCCUUACG
This 500-nucleotide ribosomal RNA is filed under the name uncultured Glomus. RNAcentral's name for it is "SSU rRNA". It matches the Rfam family "Eukaryotic small subunit ribosomal RNA", at positions 591 to 1092 of the family's 1831-position model. The record is from RNAcentral. Lineage: Eukaryota; Fungi; Glomeromycota; Glomeromycetes; Glomerales; Glomeraceae.